RNAcentral lists this ribosomal RNA (305 nucleotides) under uncultured bacterium. RNAcentral's name for it is "bacterial SSU rRNA". It matches the Rfam family "Bacterial small subunit ribosomal RNA", at positions 337 to 658 of the family's 1533-position model. The record is from RNAcentral.
GCCUACGGGACGCAGCAGUGGGGAAUAUUGCACAAUGGGGGAAACCCUGAUGCAGCAACGCCGCGUGAGUGAAGAAGUCAUUCGUGAUGUAAAGCUCUAUCAGCAGGGAAGAAAGAGGACGGUACCUGACUAAGAAGCCCCGGCUAACUACGUGCCAGCAGCCGCGGUAAUACGUAGGGGGCGAGCGUUAUCCGGAUUUACUGGGUGUAAAGGGAGCGUAGACGGCCAUGCAAGCUCGGUGUGAAAGGUACGGGCACAACCCGCAGACUGCACUGAGAACUGUAUGGCUGGAGUGCCGGAGGGGG